RNAcentral lists this non-coding RNA (148 nucleotides) under Gorilla gorilla gorilla (western lowland gorilla). Lineage: Eukaryota; Metazoa; Chordata; Mammalia; Primates; Hominidae. The record is from Rfam by way of RNAcentral.
GCUGGGUGUGGGGGUGCACGCCUGUAUUCCCAGCUACUUGGGAGGCUGAGGCAGGAGAAUCGCUUGAACCCGGGAUGGGGAGGUUGCAGUGUGCUGAGAUCGUGCCACUGCACUCCAACCUGGGCAACAGAGUGAGACCCUGUCUCAA